GAUGAACGCUGGCGGCAUGCCUAAUACAUGCAAGUCGAACGGACUAAAGAGAAAAGCUUGCUUUUUUUGGAAGUCAGUGGCGAACGGGUGAGUAACACGUAGGUAACCUGCCUCAUACAGGGGGAUAACAGUUAGAAAUGACUGCUAAUACCGCAUAAGCGCACAGCAUCGCAUGAUGCAGUGUGAAAAACUCCGGUGGUAUGAGAUGGACCCGCGUCUGAUUAGCUAGUUGGUGAGGUAAAGGCCCACCAAGGCGACGAUCAGUAGCCGACCUGAGAGGGUGAUCGGCCACACUGGGACUGAGACACGGCCCAG
RNAcentral lists this ribosomal RNA (315 nucleotides) under uncultured bacterium. RNAcentral describes it as "bacterial SSU rRNA". It matches the Rfam family "Bacterial small subunit ribosomal RNA", at positions 28 to 334 of the family's 1533-position model. The record is from RNAcentral.